This 408-nucleotide ribosomal RNA is filed under the name uncultured bacterium. RNAcentral's name for it is "partial 16S ribosomal RNA". It matches the Rfam family "Bacterial small subunit ribosomal RNA", at positions 28 to 526 of the family's 1533-position model. The record is from RNAcentral.
GACGAACGCUGGCGGCGUGCUUAACACAUGCAAGUCGAACGGAGUGCGGAACGGGGGGGUAACACGGGGGUGACCUGCCCUGCACUUCGGGAUAAGCCUGGGAAACUGGGUCUAUUACCGGAAGGUGUGGGAUGGGCCCGCGGCCUAUCAGCUUGUUGGUGGGGUAAUGUCCUCCCAGGGCGGCGACGGGUCGCCGGCCUGAGAGGGUGGACGGCCACAUUGGGACUGAGACACUGCCCAGACUCCUACGUGAGGCAGCAGUGGGGAAUAUUGCACAAGGGGCGGAAGCCUGAUGCAGCGACGCCGCGUGGGGGAUGACGGCCUUCGGGUUGUAAACUCCUUUCACCAUCGACGCGGUAGAUGGAGAAGAAGCACCGGCUAACUACGUGCCAGCAGCCGCGGUAAUAC